RNAcentral lists this ribosomal RNA (254 nucleotides) under uncultured bacterium. Its description in RNAcentral is "partial 16S ribosomal RNA". It matches the Rfam family "Bacterial small subunit ribosomal RNA", at positions 524 to 776 of the family's 1533-position model. The record is from RNAcentral.
GACGAACCGUGCGAACGUUAUUCGGAAUCACUGGGCUUAAAGCGCGUGUAGGCGGGGCGGCACGUCGGUCGCUGAAAGCCCCCGGCUCAACCGGGGAAGGGGCGCCGAUACGACCGUCCUGGAGGGACGUAGGGGGACCUGGAACUUCCGGUGGAGCGGUGAAAUGCGUAGAUAUCGAGAGGAACACCUGCGGCGAAGGCGGGUUGCUGGGCUGAUACUGACGCUGAGGCGCGAAAGCCAGGGGAGCGAACGGG